UACAGAGGUCCCAAGCGUUGUUCGGAUUCACUGGGCGUAAAGGGUGCGUAGGCGGUGGGGUGAGUUUGGGGUGAAAUCUCCGGGCCCAACCCGGAAAAUGCCUUGAAUACUAUCCUGCUUGAGGAUCGGAGGGGAGACUGGAAUUCUCGGUGUAGCAGUGAAAUGCGUAGAUAUCGAGAGGAACACCAGUGGCGAAGGCGGGUCUCUGGACGAUUCCUGACGCUGAGGCACGAAAGCCAGGGGAGCAAACGGG
RNAcentral lists this ribosomal RNA (253 nucleotides) under uncultured bacterium. RNAcentral describes it as "partial 16S ribosomal RNA". It matches the Rfam family "Bacterial small subunit ribosomal RNA", at positions 524 to 776 of the family's 1533-position model. The record is from RNAcentral.